UACGGGGGGAGCAAGCGUUGUUCGGAUUUACUGGGCGUAAAGGGCGCGUAGGCGGCCACCGCAAGUCGGUUGUGAAAUCUCUGGGCUUAACCCAGAAAGGUCAACCGAUACUGCGGGGCUAGAGUGCAGAAGGGGCAACUGGAAUUCUCGGUGUAGCGGUGAAAUGCGUAGAUAUCGAGAGGAACACCUGCGGCGAAGGCGACUUCCUGGCCUGUUCUUGACGCUGAGGCGCGAAAGCUAGGGUAGCAAACGGG
RNAcentral lists this ribosomal RNA (254 nucleotides) under uncultured bacterium. RNAcentral describes it as "partial 16S ribosomal RNA". It matches the Rfam family "Bacterial small subunit ribosomal RNA", at positions 524 to 776 of the family's 1533-position model. The record is from RNAcentral.